GCUAAAUUAGAAGGUAAGCUCUCCCUCCCUUUCACCAACUCCUAUUGCACUACUAAACAGCCACAUAUAACCCAGAACUUGCAACAUGAUACAUCUUGCAAGAGUCGUAAGUCCUGGGUAUGUUAUCUGCAUUACGUUAAGGUUCGUAUGGUAGCAGUGCCCUUUUUAGAGCUCCUGCAAAACCUGAUUCAGUGCCUUGUUCUUCUUUAAUACAUGAACAGCAAUCAUAUUUACAGUCUGUCCCCUUAGGGAAGGAAUCAAAAGGGAAAACCUCACCAGAAGAGGAGGGAAAAACAACAACAACAACAACAAAAACUGGAAGAAUUUCAGAGGCAAGUAGAAGAGAAGUGGCACUGUAACUGUUCCCAGUGUGUUUGAAUGAGAAUCAUUGCAUCCUCCAGUUUAACAUCCUGCCUGCAAACUCACCAACUACUGGCCAAGAGGAGACUUUGGGAGUGCUCAAGAUUCCACUUCACUCAGAGCUACCAGUUUCCAUAUUUUCUUGCCUGUGAUAUCAGACUUAAUGCUUUUCGAAGUCCCUCCUUCUGAAGGUUUUGAGGAACCCUGAAGCUAGAAGGUACAGUUCAUUUUAUAUUUGGAUAGAGCUAUCAUACUAGCGCUGUGCUGGAACUCAUCAAUGGAGCAAUAAAGUAAUCACACGCACCUCUCCACUACCAGUUUCAUUUGAACUUUCUGUCAUUUCCCCUCCUUCCCUUCCUCUGAAGUUCUGCCUCUGCCAGUAUUUCCUGUUUCUGGUUUGCCCUUAUCUCAAGAACUAUGCUUUAUGGAACCGAAUUGACCUGCACUACACCAUCCCACAUCACCCAUCGCAAAUCUACCCACUGACCCCAGCCAUACACCACAACUGCACCCCUGCAUCCCACACAAACCACUCUCCCCUCCUGAACUUAGGAAAAGGACAAAAUAUAUCCGGAGUAUACACAGGGUGUAAUCAAGCACUCUACCCUCUGCUACCCUGUUAUAGCUGGAUCAAAGCCCUCCAGGAACUCUCCCUUUGCAGUUGUUUGAUAGUCAGAUCAACGUGAGUGGGCAGUGACUGCAAGGCAGAAUCUGAUCCAUUCUGCAGAUAGAGUUUAUUGACGGAAAAGGCUAUACAGGAGCAAUAGCAGCCCACCAAACAAACCAAACCAAAACCCUCAAAAACCACCCCAAAAUACCAGAUCACUUGGGUUAUACUGGCAUAGAGUCACAUUACCUCCCAAAAUGCUGUGUAUCAUUUAUCACCACAGUAACUCGAUGACAUGAGGAAUUGCUGGUGGAAAUCAGAGAAGUGAUUAUGUGACCAUUACUAUGGAGGGAGUCUGUGGUAGAUCUGGGUACUGAAUGUAUCUCUUCAGACCUUGUUCAGGACCUUUUAUCACAAGCUCAUUUCUCAAGAAGGAGGGGGAAAAAAUAGCAUUGAAUCUCUAUUCAAAAUAUUUCACUGAACUUUUGGGAACAUUAUUAGAUUUCAAACAACUGAGAUAAGAAGAGAGUCAAGAAUGUUCAACACUGGAGAGUUAUCUGACACUUGGAUAUACAUAAAUGUUAUUUUUAAGAGAGGUAUCAAAGGGCAGAGAUCUUUAACACAAAGGGAAUUCUCCAGAGGUAAGGGGGAAAGAAAGAAAAAAGGUAACGUAUUUCCCAUAGAGAUGCCACACUGAAAAAAGACAAGUGCAAGGGGAAAAAAUAGAAAAAAAACAGUUCUAACAUUUUUCCCAAGAGCUUUCCACAGUACUUCAGGUUUAAAGCAGACAACAGCCUUUGUCUACUUCUCUACUGGAAAAAAAAAGUCAUCAGAAUAAUAAACAUGCUUCUCUAAUGACAAAAUGGGGAAAGUCCUCUUGAAAAACAGAAAAUGAGAACUGGAUGUCUCUGGCAGCUCCAUUUGUCCCCACUCAGGGGAUUCAUAUCUUCAGUUCAGCUUCACCACCGCGGGUGAGAGUACGGGAGAGCACUCUGGCACGGUCAGGGCGUACCGCAGUAUCUGCCAAGGCAAAGGUCUGCUUUCAGUCAACCCUAUCUGCACAGGAGCAAAAACACCCCUUUGCAUGGUAAGCAGAAUGAGCCUCAGGCGUGAGGGGUUGGAGGUACUUCAAGGCCACUCCUGAAAGGUCAUUAAGAGCAUCCUUCAGAG
Molecule: long non-coding RNA, 2137 nt
Organism: Gallus gallus (chicken)
Lineage: Eukaryota; Metazoa; Chordata; Aves; Galliformes; Phasianidae
Source: Ensembl